This 71-nucleotide transfer RNA is filed under the name bacterium. Its description in RNAcentral is "tRNA-Gln". It matches the Rfam family "tRNA". Rfam says of the family: Transfer RNA (tRNA) molecules are approximately 80 nucleotides in length. Their secondary structure includes four short double-helical elements and three loops (D, anti-codon, and T loops). Further hydrogen bonds mediate the characteristic L-shaped molecular structure. tRNAs have two regions of fundamental functional importance: the anti-codon, which is responsible for specific mRNA codon recognition, and the 3' end, to which the tRNAs corresponding amino acid is attached (by aminoacyl-tRNA synthetases). tRNAs cope with the degeneracy of the genetic code in two manners: having more than one tRNA (with a specific anti-codon) for a particular amino acid; and 'wobble' base-pairing, i.e. permitting non-standard base-pairing at the 3rd anti-codon position. RNAcentral also lists the same sequence under 1 other name. The record is from RNAcentral.
UGGCUGGUGGUGUAAUGGUAGCACAGCGGCCUUUGGAGCCGUUAGUGGAGGUUCGAAUCCUCCCCGGCCAG